GACCCCGUAGCUCAACCGGAUAGAGCACUUGCCUUCUAAGCAAGGGGUUGCGUGUUCGAGUCACGCCGGGGUCGCCA
RNAcentral lists this transfer RNA (77 nucleotides) under Alphaproteobacteria bacterium. RNAcentral's name for it is "tRNA-Arg". It matches the Rfam family "tRNA". From Rfam's summary of the family: Transfer RNA (tRNA) molecules are approximately 80 nucleotides in length. Their secondary structure includes four short double-helical elements and three loops (D, anti-codon, and T loops). The record is from RNAcentral. RNAcentral also lists the same sequence under 2 other names. Lineage: Bacteria; Pseudomonadati; Pseudomonadota; Alphaproteobacteria.